CUGCCUACGGGGGGCAGCAGUGGGGAAUAUUGCGCAAUGGGCGAAAGCCUGACGCAGCGACACCGCGUGAGGGAAGAAGGUCUUCGGAUCGUAAACCUCUGUCAGAAGGGAAGAACGGUCACUGUGCUAAUAAGCAAUGAAUUGACGGUACCUACAAAGGAAGCACCGGCUAAAUCCGUGCCGGCAACCGCGGUAAUACGGAGGGUGCGAGCGUUAAUCGGAAUUACUGGGCGUAAAGCGCUCGUAGGAGGUCUG
RNAcentral lists this ribosomal RNA (255 nucleotides) under uncultured bacterium. RNAcentral's name for it is "partial 16S ribosomal RNA". It matches the Rfam family "Bacterial small subunit ribosomal RNA", at positions 335 to 582 of the family's 1533-position model. The record is from RNAcentral.